UACGUAGGGGUCGAGCGUUGUCCGGAGUUACUGGGCGUAAAGCGCGCGCAGGCGGCGCGAUAAGACCGGCGUGAAAGCCCCCGGCUCAACCGGGGAGGGUCGUUGGUGACUGUCGCGCUUGAAGGCAGCAGGGGUGAGUGGAACUCCCGGUGUAGUGGUGAAAUGCGUAGAUAUCGCUUGGAACGCCAAAGGUGAAAACGUAGGUUGCUGGGGUUGUGCCGACGCUGAGACACGAAAGCCAGGGGAGACGAAACGGG
This 257-nucleotide ribosomal RNA is filed under the name uncultured bacterium. Its description in RNAcentral is "partial 16S ribosomal RNA". It matches the Rfam family "Bacterial small subunit ribosomal RNA", at positions 524 to 776 of the family's 1533-position model. The record is from RNAcentral.